UUGCCUAUAUCAUAAGCGGAGGAAAAGAAACCAACCGGGAUUGCCUUAGUAACGGCGAGUGAAGCGGCAAAAGCGGAGGAAAAGAAACCAACCGGGAUUGCCUUAGUAACGGCGAGUGAAGCGGCAAAAGCUCAAAUUUGAAAUCUGGUACCUUCGGUGCCCGAGUUGUAAUUUGGAGAGGGCAACUUUGGGGCCGUUCCUUGUCUAUGUUCCUUGGAACAGGACGUCAUAGAGGGUGAGAAUCCCGUGUGGCGAGGAGUGCGGUUCUUUGUAAAGUGCCUUCGAAGAGUCGAGUUGUUUGGGAAUGCAGCUCUAAGUGGGUGGUAAAUUCCAUCUAAAGCUAAAUAUUGGCGAGAGACCGAUAGCGAACAAGUACAGUGAUGGAAAGAUGAAAAGAACUUUGAAAAGAGAGUGAAAAAGUACGUGAAAUUGUUGAAAGGGAAGGGCAUUUGAUCAGACAUGGUGUUUUGUGCCCUCUGCUCCUUGUGGGUAGGGGAAUCUCGCAUUUCACUGGGCCAGCAUCAGUUUUGGUGGCAGGAUAAAUCCAUAGGAAUGUAGCUUGCCUCGGUAAGUAUUAUAGCCUGUGGGAAUACUGCCAGCUGGGACUGAGGACUGCGACGUAAGUCAAGGAUGCUGGCAUAAUGGUUAUAUGCCGCCCGUCUUGA
This 665-nucleotide ribosomal RNA is filed under the name Saccharomyces cerevisiae (brewer's yeast). RNAcentral's name for it is "LSU rRNA". It matches the Rfam family "Eukaryotic large subunit ribosomal RNA", at positions 1 to 657 of the family's 3401-position model. The record is from RNAcentral. Lineage: Eukaryota; Fungi; Ascomycota; Saccharomycetes; Saccharomycetales; Saccharomycetaceae.